GGCGAUGUCGACCCAGUAAUGAGAAAACACAUAGCAAUACUUUCUGGAUCGCUUUCAAGCUCUGUUGUGGGAGGGGCGCAGAGGAAUCGAUGGCAGCCGGUUUCCCUGAAUCGGAGCGGACGUUUCAAACAGCGCAGAGUGAGGAUAUAGAGAGAAAGCCCGUUGAAAGGUUUGACAAGAUCACAGUGUGGCAGAAGUGCGAUCACGGAUCACACGCUUCCCCAAGCACGCGAUGCUUUGGUGGUACCUGGUGACUUCAGCAUUGAUCGGUGUAUCAACUAUUCUGAAUGUCGCAUCUGGGUGUCACGUGAUCUGAUUUAGCGUUAUCUAAUCUGUGGGUGGUGGAGAAAGAACACCAUCUUUACAAUGCAACCAAGAGGAUACUUUGAGGAGAAAAACUGACCGGAGCUUUGUCAGAAAGUUUCCCCUUUCGCCUACUCUGAAGCGCCAUAAGCCUGGAACACAGUGGUGUACAAUCAUCAAAGCCUGUUCACAGAUGUUUGUUGGGGCGGAAUCAAGUUUGGUUUCAAGAGUGGCUGAAGUGAAGGCUACGACUUCUUGGACUCUUGUAUGAAAGACAGAAUGCUC
Molecule: long non-coding RNA, 588 nt
Filed under: Rattus norvegicus (Norway rat)
Lineage: Eukaryota; Metazoa; Chordata; Mammalia; Rodentia; Muridae
Description: long non-coding RNA NONRATT033446
Source: RNAcentral